This 468-nucleotide ribosomal RNA is filed under the name uncultured bacterium. RNAcentral's name for it is "partial 16S ribosomal RNA". It matches the Rfam family "Bacterial small subunit ribosomal RNA", at positions 28 to 507 of the family's 1533-position model. The record is from RNAcentral.
GACGAACGCUGGCGGCGUGCUUAACACAUGCAAGUCGAACGGAAAGGCCCUGCUUUUGUGGGGUGCUCGAGUGGCGAACGGGUGAGUAACACGUGAGUAACCUGCCCUUGACUUUGGGAUAACUUCAGGAAACUGGGGCUAAUACCGGAUAGGAGCUCCUGCUGCAUGGUGGGGGUUGGAAAGUUUCGGCGGUUGGGGAUGGACUCGCGGCUUAUCAGCUUGUUGGUGGGGUAGUGGCUUACCAAGGCUUUGACGGGUAGCCGGCCUGAGAGGGUGACCGGCGACAUUGGGACUGAGAUACGGCCCAGACUCCUACGGGAGGCAGCAGGGGGGAAUAUUGCACAAUGGGCGGAAGCCUGAUGCAGAAACGCCGCGUGCGGGAUGACGGCCUUCGGGUUGUAAACCGCUUUCGCCUGUGACGAAGCGUGAGUGACGGUAAUGGGUAAAGAAGCACCGGCUAACUACGUG